AUGAUCCAUCUUUACUACUUUGUUUUCCUUCAAUCUUUCGGCUUCGUUGUCAUGUGUAAAGCGGAUCUGGAAAAUGUGAAGAACAUGAAUUGGUGCAAGUUUAUUGCCGACUUCCUCCAUGAUGCAUUCUCAAGCAAGAUGUACCAAAAGGGUUGUCGACUGCAUUUAAUGCUCAUGUAUGUCGACUGUCUUGAUCUGUCCACUGUGGAUUUCACUGGGGUAGGAGGCCUGCCACCUACGCACAAGUUUGUUGUUUCUGCGUGGACUAUCAACGCUGUCAAGGUUGUGCUUGCCGUAGACAGGGCAACUGAUACCAAAUAUGGAAAACUACAGCUGAUGGCCAAGCAUGCUAUAGACUACAGCGUGUUUGGGGGGGCUCAAAACUUUGGAAAGUGGAUGGACGUGCACCCAGCUCCGUCUUGCCCUACUGAGGCAAGGGCACCUAUUGAGCAUCUAAUUGGGCAGUUUGCAUCCGGAAUGACCGGCUUGCUCGGGAAGUUGGUUGAGGGGUGGACGUCUCUCAGUGGCUCUGACAGUGACGCGGUUGCGAGGCAGUUCACUUCAUUUGUUCCAGAACGUACACAUCGGCCAACCGGUUGCCGUGGCCGGUAUGACUACAACAGUUCACAAGAGCCCAGUGACACACAAGAUGAUCUAGAUGGAGACGCUGGCCUCAGCAAGGAUGACGAUGAUGACAUGGAGAACGUGCAACAGGACACCGAUGGUGAUGAACAUGCUGAAGUUCACACAGGUGGUAACAAGGACAAGGAUGCAACAGAUGUCCCCCCACCGGAGAAAGUCAAAGAACAUACGGCUGCGAGAGGCGAGGGGGUGUUGCCAUCAAGGAGGGGAGGGCUCCAGGAGAUGUUGGGCAGGGUUCUCAUGGCAAGAGGUCUAGGACCGAUCCCGUAG
RNAcentral lists this ribosomal RNA (912 nucleotides) under Triticum aestivum (bread wheat). RNAcentral describes it as "partial small subunit ribosomal RNA". The record is from RNAcentral. Lineage: Eukaryota; Viridiplantae; Streptophyta; Magnoliopsida; Poales; Poaceae.